Camelina sativa (false flax) is the source of this 747-nucleotide non-coding RNA. The record is from RefSeq and is a predicted model, not a curated record. NCBI's taxonomy places the organism in Eukaryota, Viridiplantae, Streptophyta, Magnoliopsida, Brassicales, Brassicaceae.
UCCUUGCAUUUAGUUCUGGCCAGGAACAAGCCCAAAUCAGUACUACCCUUUACAUGUUUUCGUGUCUUUUUAGAAUUUUUUUGUUCUUUUUUUCCUUCUAUUAAAGAAUCAUAAAGGAAGAAGAAACUCCGAGUGGUUUCAGACAACCAUCGUGGCAUGAGCUUUUUUACUCAUCUAUAUAGUGAUUGCAAAACGAUUGGACUUUUCAAUUGGUGACAUGGAUUUGAUUGUAGUUUCUGGAACUGGCGGUGUGUAUAGUUGGGAAUGUUGCGGGACAAAGGAGACGACAACAAGCUGUUACGGUUGCCAAGGAAAGAAGGGAAUGUUGAGGAUGCUUGUGUUGAGAAUGAGAUGAUGGUUGAUGAAGAGCAGCCAAGAUUGGAGGCUUAAGCCAAUAUAGCCGUGGAAGAGCUCAAGUGUCUGCUGUUCAGUAUCAGGGAAAAGGUGCAAUGCAGAAGAGGGUGAUACUACUCUUCGGGAACUCAGGCGUUUACUGUCAAAAUCAGAGCUCCCUCCUGUUGAAGUUGCCCUCAGCUAGCGCUGAUGCAAUACCAUUAUUUGUGCAGUUUACUUGAGUCAGCUUGGUGUCUCACGAACAUUGCUGCUGGAAAACCUGAAGAAACAAAAGCUCUAUUACCGGCACUGCCAUUGCUUGUUGCUACCUUGGAGUCCAAACACAUAUAGAGAAGAUGAGCCAUAGGAAUUGGAAAGAGACUUACUAUAUCUUACGAAAUCGCGCCGGCCACA